GAUGAACGCUGGCGGCGUGCCUAAUACAUGCAAGUCGAACGAGGUCCUUGCCUUCGGGUGAGGUCCUAGUGGCGAACGGGUGAGUAACACGUUGGUGACCUGCCCCGAAGAGGGGGACAACCCCGGGAAACUGGGGCUAAUACCCCAUGUGAUCCAGAGAGUUAGAGGUCUUUGGAUGAAAUGGAGCAAUCCGCUUCGGGGAGGGGCCUGCGGCCUAUCAGCUUGUUGGUGGGGUGAUGGCCUACCAAGGCGACGACGGGUAGCCGGCCUGAGAGGGCGACCGGCCACACUGGGACUGAGACACGGCCCAGACUCCUACGGGAGGCAGCAGGUGGGGAAUCUUGCGCAAUGGGCGAAAGCCUGACGCAGCGACGCCGCGUGA
Molecule: ribosomal RNA, 382 nt
Filed under: uncultured bacterium
Lineage: Bacteria
Description: bacterial SSU rRNA
Rfam family: Bacterial small subunit ribosomal RNA
Source: RNAcentral